UUCAUCGUGAGGUGGAAUCUGAAGGAGGGUGGAGGCAAAUCUUUGGUUUGAUGAACAGAAAUCAUAUCAGGCAACAGUUAAGGAUAAGCCAGUCCAUGUUAAUACUAUUACGCUCCAACUUUAUCCUGUUCAUCCUGCCGUAAUUUGUGUUAUUAUGUACCUACUAAACAGACCCGAGAAAAAC
RNAcentral lists this unclassified non-coding RNA (184 nucleotides) under Acetitomaculum ruminis DSM 5522. The record is from RNAcentral. Lineage: Bacteria; Bacillati; Bacillota; Clostridia; Lachnospirales; Lachnospiraceae.